Mus caroli (Ryukyu mouse) is the source of this 3503-nucleotide long non-coding RNA. RefSeq lists it as uncharacterized. NCBI's taxonomy places the organism in Eukaryota, Metazoa, Chordata, Mammalia, Rodentia, Muridae. The record is from RefSeq and is a predicted model, not a curated record.
GUUUUGGGUGGUGAUGUGCCUUUUGUUUUUUGCAAUUCUAAGAUGGUAAGCCUAGUCUAGUAUGAUCUUCGACUUGGUGGACUCAAAAAAAAAAAUCCUCCUACCUCUGCUGGCAAGUAUUUGGGUCUAACAGCAUGUAUCACCAGUUUAGAAAUAUAGCGUGCAUUUGUCAACUAUUUAGAGGUUUCCCAGCUAUGUUUCUGCUAUUCUUAGUUUAAUUUCACUCAACUCCAAGAUCAUGCAUUUGUUUGCUUCCAGAUAGUGUCUUGCUAGAGGCCAAGCUUCUAGCUCCCAGUCCUGAGUGCUGGGAUGAGAGGUGAGUGCCAUCAUGCCAGGUGCCGACGCCUAUUUUGUAGGACUUUUGUUUUUAAGCUUGUUUAAGGGUGGUUUUCAGUCUGGAAUGUAACCUCAGUGAAUAUUUUAUCUGAAUUUGAGAGUGAUGUUCACCCAUACUUGUCGGAUGAGUGUUCUUCAAAUGUCAACAGAUCCAGAUGACUAACGGUACCGGCUAGGACCGGCUAGGUUCCACUUGGCCUUGUGCAUUUUCUCUCUGAUAGGUCAAUUACUGUCUGGUGCGUUGCUGGAGUAUUGAGCGCUAAUGGAUUGAGCCUUUUUGUGUUUUCGUUAAAUGGUUUUCUGUUCCCUUGGAUAUUUUGACUCCCUGCUGUUCAGCUUGAUCAUAUUAAUGAAUGUAGGUCUUUUUGGAUAAUAGACUGCAUUUGUUUUGUGUGGUGCUCCUUUUUGCCCCUGGUCGUUUUCCUUGCACCAGCUGGCCCUGUGUCUGGAAGCUCGGAGCUUGCUCUCUUGGAGUCCUAUCCCUGAAGUCGCCCAUCCUCUGGGAGGCAGACGGACAUCUUCAGCCUCUGAGGCUGAUUUACAAACAAGAGUUGGUGGAUCCACAGAACAGCAGCCCGGAACUAGGGGCAAGGGUCACAUGUCCAGUCAGAAACAACGCCCUCCUUCACCCAAAUUGCUCAAAACUGUUGUUGGCUCUUCUUCAAAACUCUUGAUGUUUGGCAAUACCGUGUGCACUUUGACCAUAGCGCCCAGUGCCUUGUUGAGCAGUUUUCAGUAGACUUUCGCUUUGCACAAACAUCUCUGAGUGAUCCAAUACCUCCUGCAGCUCUGGCAAACUCUGGGUCAGCCCGGAGUCCCUCGAAGCUGGAACUGAGGUCAGAGAAGCCCAGGACAGCCACGAAGCUGUGGGUCCUCGCGCCUAACAACCACAGUUUAGGAUUCUGAUACGUUACCAAACCGCCAUCCAGAAAGGAAUUGCAAUUUGGACUUCUACAAGAAAUCAGAAACAGUAAAGAACAGCCUCGCUGCCUGCAGGGGUGCCUGAGGCCCUGAAGUCCAGAGCUUUGCUGAGUUCAUCACUUGGGAGAGUAAACCUCCAAUGGUCUGCCGGUGCAGUGAGCAUUGCAACCUGAAUCAUUGUAAAUCAUAUUUGCAAAUCUACUCUUUUCCAACAAAGGCCGAUGGAUCAAUCAAUUGAAAGCUGAGCCCAGCAGGUGAGGGAAAACUCCCGUCUUUGGCAUGGCACGUGUCCACUCCUCAAGCCCAUGGAGAUUCGGACUGAAGGGUUCCAGAGAUCGCGUGGUGAGGCCGUGUGGAGUUUGCCAUGCAGGGGAGCUCCCAACACCAAGCAUCUGCCAGCAAAGAGCCCAAUCUGGACCUUGGAAAACUGUGUCCUCUCUUCCCAGGUGUUCCACUGAGCCACUGACUUCUCCGGGAGUCAUUCAGAUUCUAAUCAUAGCCCUUGAAGCAGCCAUUUCUUCCUGUGCUUCGGAAACUGAACUUGCUAAAGCAGCUAGGAUUGGUCCCCUGGUGGUCUUGGCCAGUUCUUGGACAACAAGGCUAGGUCCUUAGGCAGAGUCUUGAGCCAGUACAGGUCCAUGCUUCCCAGUAGGGAUGGAUUUCUUUUCGGACAUACAUCGUAGAAACUGGUAUGUCUGGAGCUCCAUCACUUGCGCUAUACUGCCUGGGCAGAAGGAAAGACCACAGGGAAGGCGGUGGCUGUGCCGGGCAGGGAGAACUCACAGCUAUUGUGCUCCAUGGAACAGCCCAGACCCUGCCAUCCGGCACGGAUGUUUUGUUUAGUCAAGGCUGGCUGACCCCGAAGCGGGGAAUUAUUAUUGUAACAUGUGUUUGGUGUGGAAGGGCGAUGUUGGAAGACAAUGGGAGGGGAGAGGCAUCUUAUUGCUGUCUGGGUGGGUUGGAGCUGGUAGGAGCUUCUGCCACUCUCCUCUGCUCUAUCUCCUUGUCCUGGGAUCCAUGCUGUUCCUCUAGGAGAAGCAAUGAAAGGUCAACCUCAGGCUGCUGAAAACAUGCCCCUUGAGGUUAUCCGAUGGCCUAAGCUGUAUCCUAUGGGAUGGGAAAGGUGUGCUGUUGUUGGUGGGAUCAUCUGAAGGCUGCCCCUUCAAGAACCAGGGUAGCUAGCUGUGCAGCUAGCUCAGAGUUAAAACGAGCCCGGGAGAAGACAUAGGAAGCCAUUGUCUUGUUGGAUUUUCUGGCCCAUUAAGAAGUCUGGACUGUAACCUUGAAGACAGGAUGUGACCCCCACAUAAGUUCCUCACCUUGAUGACCCACAUGAAUCCAUGGGUCCAUCACAGUGCUCUCCAGAGCUCAUCUCUCACUGGGACUGAGAAUGAAAGAAUUGGUCUUUGAAUGUGUUCUCACCAUAGCCUCAUAGGAAGAAUGUCACAUCUCCUGUUCGCCACCUCUCUGGCAGUUCCCCUGAAUCUCUGUAGGUCAGAGGGCAGGAAUCCACUUGUCAAUGCAUGUUAAGUACCAGGCUUUGUGCAUCUACAUGCGGAGAAUGCCAGGCUGUCCCACAAAGUACCCUGCUGGUUGUAAAAGAUGGAAUUUGCUGUUGAAGUCACAGUUUGCAAUCUUGAUGUUCACGCCAGCCUCUGAGGGUUUAUCUGCCUUGAAGGCUGUCAGGACAGUGCACUUCUGGUCGCACAUUAGACACUACUGUUGGAAUUUGCUUCAGGCCUCUGUUUUCUCUCCCACUGCCACGAGGCACCGGGUACCCAAAUACCUCUUUUCCACUAGCAGGUUUCAUAAGAAGGCUGAUUUCCCAGUGUCGAUCAUUUGGGUCACUCUUGUUGGGAUUGUUGGAGUCUUCGUGCAUCCUUAGCUCACAGGAUGUUCUCUGGAUGGUAGAGGCGUGCUUUGCAUUGAGGAUGCAAUGGGUGGACAUUGAGAAUGCUGGGUUAUCUUGGCUGAGGAUCUUCAGCAGCUGCCCAUGUGGGGUCUCUCUUUCUCUCAAGCAGAUAUGGCUGAGGGGCCCUGCAGCUUGUCCAGACCUGCCGGUGGGCCUCAGAGUUAAGGCACAGGGUGGGGUGGGGAGGUGGGGAGGGUGAGCCUAAGUUUGAGAAAGGUGUGCACUCGUUUCAAGUCACCUCAGGUGAGAGCCGAAGGUUCACCUGGUGAAGUUAUCUUUAUAGUAGAAAUAAACGCACUGCUGGACCAAAAAAUAAAAAAAAUUUUUUAAAUAA